CGUUGUAUUAUGUAACGUUGAAUAAUUUUGAAGGAUGUACCUGAAUAUCUUUCCACAUAACAAGUUUCAUAUCAUCUGAAAGGUAUUACCAGUCAACAAGAGUAUACAGUACAGUCUCCCUUACAAGACGGCCCAGAAAAAGAGAUAAAGUGACAGAUAGCGAAUGUCCCAUUUCAUUAAACUUUACUUCAAUUGAAGCAAUGACUUCAUUCAAAUUCUUCAUUUGGGUAGGGUCUCUCUUCUUCUUUUGGACUUGUUGAAUCUCUCCUUCAGAAUGUAUAACAUUUUGUUGCAAUAGACUCGUAUCUUCCACAUGUGUUCUUUGGCUUUCAUUACCACUCAUGUCUACAUCAUCUUCUGGGGUAACCUCAUGUGAUGCCUCAUCUAUAAAUGUGUUAGUGAUGGAUCUCAUUGCACAGUUUUUUGGUAAAUCAACAAGUGAAUAAUAAUUUUUCAUGAGAUCCUUACGCAUAUUCAUGCUGUAGAAAGACCUAGUAGGAGCAUCCAGAGAGUUAAAAUGUUGUUGAAAUGUGUUGGCUACUUUAAGUUGUCCGCGUGUAGUUUUUUCGUACUAAUCUCUUUUUACGUGGAGCUUUGGAAUCAUCAACAACCUUCUUUUUGAUAUUCACCAUGAUAUCGAGCCUAUUUAAGAAAAUAUAAAAAUCAUGAUUAGCAUUCUAUGUCAAAAUUUUAGAAAAUCACAUAAAAAAAUGAAUAAACAAUACUCACCAUUGCAAGGCGACAGAAAAAUACAAACAAUAAUAUAAUAUUAACAUUACAAUGCUUCAAGGCAGCACAAGAAAAAACAAAUAAAACUAACUACAAAAGGAUCUUUUUAUUUCUGAACUAAAAUUUACAAUCGUCAAAUUAAAGUAUUCUCGCAAUCCCCUCUUACAUAGCUAAUUUCCUCGUUCACAUAAUCAAUGUUCAGUGAAACAUUAUUUCUAACACUGACUUCCUC
This 961-nucleotide long non-coding RNA is filed under the name Olea europaea subsp. europaea. Lineage: Eukaryota; Viridiplantae; Streptophyta; Magnoliopsida; Lamiales; Oleaceae. The record is from RNAcentral.